Molecule: ribosomal RNA, 461 nt
Filed under: uncultured bacterium
Lineage: Bacteria
Description: bacterial SSU rRNA
Rfam family: Bacterial small subunit ribosomal RNA
Source: RNAcentral
UUCAGACUCCUACGGGAGGCAGCAGUGGGGAAUAUUGCACAAUGGGGGGAACCCUGAUGCAGCGACGCCGCGUGGGUGAAGGAGCACCUCGGUGCGUAAAGCCCUAUCGGCAGGGAAGAAAAGCGAACAGGUUCGCCUGGACGGUACCUGACUAAGAAGCCCCGGCUAACUACGUGCCAGCAGCCGCGGUAAUACGUAGGGGGCAAGCGUUAUCCGGAUUUACUGGGUGUAAAGGGAGCGUAGACGGAAUUGCAAGUCUGAUGUGAAAAUCCGGGGCCCAACCCCGGAACUGCAUUGGAAACUGUAUUUCUAGAGUGUCGGAGAGGCAAGUGGAAUUCCUGGUGUAGCGGUGAAAUGCGUAGAUAUCAGGAGGAACACCAGUGGCGAAGGCGGCUUGCUGGACGAUGACUGACGUUGAGGCUCGAAAGCGUGGGGAGCAAACAGGAUUAGAUACCCUCGUA